RNAcentral lists this ribosomal RNA (435 nucleotides) under uncultured bacterium. Its description in RNAcentral is "bacterial SSU rRNA". It matches the Rfam family "Bacterial small subunit ribosomal RNA", at positions 29 to 507 of the family's 1533-position model. The record is from RNAcentral.
AACGAACGCUGGCGGCAUGCCUAACACAUGCAAGUCGAACGAAGCCUUCGGGCUUAGUGGCGCACGGGUGCGUAACGCGUGGGAACCUACCAUCAGGUUCGGAAUAACAGUUAGAAAUGACUGCUAAUACCGGAUAAUGUCUUCGGACCAAAGAUUUAUCGCCUUUUGAUGGGCCCGCGUUGGAUUAGCUAGUUGGUGGGGUAAAGGCCUACCAAGGCGACGAUCCAUAGCUGGUCUGAGAGGAUGAUCAGCCACACUGGGACUGAGACACGGCCCAGACUCCUACGGGAGGCAGCAGUGGGGAAUAUUGGACAAUGGGCGAAAGCCUGAUCCAGCAAUGCCGCGUGAGUGAUGAAGGCCUUAGGGUUGUAAAGCUCUUUUACCUAGGGAUGAUAAUGACAGUACCUGGAGAAUAAGACUCCGGCUAACUCCGUG